RNAcentral lists this ribosomal RNA (253 nucleotides) under uncultured bacterium. RNAcentral's name for it is "partial 16S ribosomal RNA". It matches the Rfam family "Bacterial small subunit ribosomal RNA", at positions 524 to 776 of the family's 1533-position model. The record is from RNAcentral.
UACGUAGGGGGCUAGCGUUGUCCGGAAUCAUUGGGCGUAAAGCGCGUGUAGGCGGCCCGGUAAGUCCGCUGUGAAAGUCGGGGGCUCAACCCUCGGAUGCCGGUGGAUACUGUCGGGCUCGAGUACGGAAGAGGCGAGUGGAAUUCCUGGUGUAGCGGUGAAAUGCGCAGAUAUCAGGAGGAACACCAAUUGCGAAGGCAGCUCGCUGGGACGUUACUGACGCUGAGAGACGAAAGCCAGGGGAGCAAACGGG